UACAGAGGUCUCAAGCGUUGUUCGGAUUCAUUGGGCGUAAAGGGUGCGUAGGCGGCGCGGUAAGUCGGGUGUGAAAUCUCGGAGCUUAACUCCGAAACUGCAUUCGAUACUGCCGUGCUUGAGGACUGGAGAGGAGACUGGAAUUUACGGUGUAGCGGUGAAAUGCGCAGAUAUCGGGAGGAACACCGGUGGCGAAGGCGGUUCUCUGGGCCUUACCUGACGCUGAGGAGCGAAAGCGUGGGGAGCGAACAGG
RNAcentral lists this ribosomal RNA (253 nucleotides) under uncultured bacterium. RNAcentral's name for it is "partial 16S ribosomal RNA". It matches the Rfam family "Bacterial small subunit ribosomal RNA", at positions 524 to 776 of the family's 1533-position model. RNAcentral also lists the same sequence under 1 other name. The record is from RNAcentral.